CAAACAUAGCAAAUGAUCGCUUCAUUUUUUUGAAGAGGAAAGUCCGAGCUGCAAUAGGACAAAGAUUCCAUCUAAUGGAUGGCUAGGGUGACCUAAGGGAAAGUGCAACAGAAAGAAAACUACCAUAUUUUAUAUGGAAAAGGUGAAACGGUAGAGUAAGAGCCUACCAGUAGCUUUGGUAACAAAGCUAGCUAUGUAAACCCAAUCUGCAGCAAGAAGGGGUGGUUUUUGUCUUAUAAUAUAACCCUUCGCUUGAGUUUGUUUGCAAAAACAAAAUUAGAUAAAUGAUCAUUCAAGACAAAACUCGGCUUAUAGCUAUGUUUUACUU
Molecule: RNase P RNA, 328 nt
Filed under: Campylobacter lari
Lineage: Bacteria; Pseudomonadati; Campylobacterota; Epsilonproteobacteria; Campylobacterales; Campylobacteraceae
Description: RNase P RNA component class A
Rfam family: Bacterial RNase P class A
About the family: Ribonuclease P (RNase P) is a ubiquitous endoribonuclease, found in archaea, bacteria and eukarya as well as chloroplasts and mitochondria. Its best characterised activity is the generation of mature 5'-ends of tRNAs by cleaving the 5'-leader elements of precursor-tRNAs.
Source: RNAcentral